GCAGACACAUCCAACUGCAGAGCGGACGGUUCGAUUGUGCGGACCGUCAGUUCCACUCCAUCCCAGCGACGUGGCAGACGCUCAUGGACAACCCCAACGACGUCAAGGAGCUCAUCCCGGAGUUCUUCUACUUCCCAGAGUUCCUGGAGAACCAAAAUGGUUUCGAUCUGGGUCGCCUGCAGAUCUCAAAGGAGAGGGUAAAUGACGUUAUUCUGCCAAAAUGGGCCAAGUCCCCGGAGGAUUUCAUCUACAAACACCGCAAAGCCCU
Notothenia coriiceps (black rockcod) is the source of this 268-nucleotide long non-coding RNA. RefSeq lists it as uncharacterized. Lineage: Eukaryota; Metazoa; Chordata; Actinopteri; Perciformes; Nototheniidae. The transcript is spliced from 3 exons. The record is from RefSeq and is a predicted model, not a curated record.